Molecule: ribosomal RNA, 379 nt
Filed under: uncultured eukaryote
Lineage: Eukaryota
Description: partial 18S ribosomal RNA
Rfam family: Eukaryotic small subunit ribosomal RNA
Source: RNAcentral
CAAUAGCGUAUAUUUAAGUUGUUGCAGUUAAAAAGCUCGUAGUUGGAUUUCGGAUGGGACUUGCCGGUCCGUCGUUUCGAUGUGCACUGGCCAGUCCUAUCUUGUUGUCGGGGACUAGCUCCUGGGCUUCACUGUCCGGGACUAGGAGCUGACGAGGUUACUUUGAGUAAAUUAGAGUGUUCAAAGCAAGCCUACGCUCUGAAUACAUUAGCAUGGAAUAACACGAUAGGACUCUGGCUUAUCUUGUUGGUCUGUGAGACCAGAGUAAUGAUUAAGAGGGACAGUCGGGGGCAUUCGUAUUUCAUUGUCAGAGGUGAAAUUCUUGGAUUUAUGAAAGACGAACGUCUGCGAAAGCAUUUGUCAAGGAUGUUUUCAUUAA